RNAcentral lists this long non-coding RNA (1202 nucleotides) under Equus asinus (donkey). Its description in RNAcentral is "lncRNA (ENSEASG00005024593.1)". The record is from RNAcentral. Lineage: Eukaryota; Metazoa; Chordata; Mammalia; Perissodactyla; Equidae.
CUUUUAAAAAAUUUACCUUGUUCUUAAAUUCUCAAUAGAAAAUUCAUUUAUUCAAGAAAUAAUUCAUUAAACAAAAAGUAUUGCGUUCUUAGCAUAAAUCUAUAGAGGUACUAGAUUUGAAUAUAAAUUGAUCCAAAACAUAAAUUAUAUAUUAUUCAAAGAUAUACUUGCUCUGUAAACAGCUCUUGAAAUACAAAAGAAGCUCCUUUAUCAAACUGUGAGAAUUACGUUCUGGCAUGAUGGGAGAUAGCAGAACAGAAUCAUAAUUUGCACUGGAAUUUAAGAUUACAGGGGUCUGGCCUGGUGAUGCAGCGGUUAAGUGCGCAUGUUCCUGCUUCAGUGGCCCAAGGUUUGCCAGUUCAGAUCCCGGGUGUGGACAUGGCACUGCUUAGCAAGCCAUGCUGUGACAAGAAGUCCCCUUCUGCCAAAACAAGACUCAAAACCAAAUAAAAAGUGCUUCUUUCACUCCGCCUUAACCUUCACUUUAUCUGAGGAGGUUCCGAAUUUCAAACAGAUGCAGUCACUCCCGAAUAGUGACAGAAUUAGCCGAUCUGCCUUCUUCAAGUCCCAGCCUUUGUUUAAAAGCUCUUCUAGGACUAGGCAGACCAAAGCAAGAUUUUCGAGGAUUGGUGGUUCUAAGCGCCCCCAGGGGUACCUUGAUGGUCCCCUCCGUGCUUCAGGCCCAGAGCUGUGGGUGGACUUGUGAGCAUCUGUGUUUUCCUGUGUAAUCUUAUUCCCUGCUGAUCGCUGGAUUGGCCCCAAAGGAGAAGUUUCAGAUCUCCCAAAACUAUAAGUCAGCUGUCAGCCUGUGGAAAUUAAUUUUUCGACACCUGUGAAACCUUGCCAGUGAUCUCCUAAGGUCUUAGCUAUCCUAUAGCUGGUGUCUUCCGUGCCUGAUCGCCUGUGAAUACAGCAGAGAAGGACCCUCGGGACCCCCACUGCAGCCACUUGGACCCUCCAGUAGCUGAACUGUUCUUUUCAGUGUUACCAGGAACAUUCUGGACCUUAUCACCUCCCUCGUUUCUGGCCUGAUACUUGAAAGCCAUAGUGGAAGUUACCAAGGGCCACAUGUAAGGUGCUUCCCUAAAAAUUCAAGUCACUGUGAGCCAAUGACGUGAAAACAGUCACAAUGUUUCACAGUUAAGCAGCAUGAUACUCCUCAUUUUUAGUGUUUUAAUGUAAUAAAUGUUGUGUCUUCCUUA